Molecule: long non-coding RNA, 1804 nt
Organism: Gasterosteus aculeatus aculeatus (three-spined stickleback)
Lineage: Eukaryota; Metazoa; Chordata; Actinopteri; Perciformes; Gasterosteidae
Source: Ensembl
AAAAACAAGAUUUCACAGCAUCUAGACAUCCUCCGCUGAGUGAUGGGGCUAUUGCGUGGGCCGGGGACGCAGGCUGAACCGUGGCAGCACCUCUGCAUUGCCUUUUCCGCUCUGUAAAAAAAACGACCUCAACCUUUGUAUCCACCUGAUCCUUUGAACUGGGCCGCAUUUAUAAAACGGUGUUGUGAUUAACUCGGUUCUCAGAGAUGCAUUUAGAUGAAGGAAUUCUGUGUUGGUUCUUGGGUCAUGCACACGUUUGAAGAAGUGGGAGACCAACGGUGGCCACUUGAAUGUGAAAUGGUAAUUCCCUGAUCACUGGCGUCGUGUGUAGAAUGUCCGAUAAGAGGACUGCAACUCAUUCACGUGCUCCCAGAUUCUGGAGGCACUUGUAAUUAGCAUUCUCUAUGGAGGGGGUAGCUGUGCUUCAGUUCUUAUGAAUUCCAAUUCGGCACGUUUUUUUUUUCUUCACCCUGGAAUAUGGAAAUGUCCCGCUCUCAACACACUGUGUCCCACAAGUAUAACUUGUGCAGCCUCUUUAAUUCAGAACUAUGAUCUGCGCACCUCCUUGCUGGCGUGUGGGGUCUUUCAUCGGCCAAAAGGCCGAGGCAGCAAGAGUUACAGGAUAGAACGUUGUGGCCUACGCAGCGCUGACGGGCUGUAAACGUGUGUGAGGCGAGUCCAAUUCAAUCCAUCUAAUUUUGUAUGUACUAAAAAAGGCCCCGUUUGAAAACGUCCUUUUGUGAUUUCCAUUCAUUAUUUGUACAUGUUGGGAACUUUCGAUAGGAGUCCUAAAACAACAUGGGUAAAUGCAGGAAGGAGAUGAAUGGACGCAAAGUAAUCCAGUGGUGGAAGAUGGCUGUUCUGAUUUAAAAAGGUUUGGCUACCUAAUUGCAACUCCAUUUAAAAUCCCAAAAGCUUCCUUUCUUCAUUUUGGCACUGUGUCCUCAUGACUGCCGAUAAAGGCUUGUAAGGCGUAACGUAAUGCAAACCGUCAUAUUGGUUGAGUCUAACUCGUGAUGUCAUACACAGGGAAGUGAAAGGUCCAAUGGUAGGAUAAAGCAUCAAUAACCAGUUCCAUCAGCUGGCCGCUUAAGAGACUCUUCAUGUCUUUACAAAAUCAAGUAUGUCAAAUGUCCAAAGUUUAAAAAAAAAAAAAAGAAAUGUCACUGUGGAUCUCAACUUGUUUCUGUAAGAGAAUAUCACAAGCUAACAGCAUGAGUGAGUGACCGGAGGAGGGGUUGAUGGGCAUUAAACCAGAGACGCAUGUUGCUGUGAAGGAAGGGGGCGGGACCACGUCUCAGGACCUCCAAGUGAGAUCUGCUGAGCUCGGACGCAAGAGGUGGUCGUGGCCGGGUCAGGAGUAAGAGGAGUGUGUUCUGUUCUCUCCCCCCACUCGGUUAAGAUGUCUCAAGAUGAGCUGUUCUGGCCAGCAGCAGUACAAACACUAAAAGCAAAGCUUUCUUUUCCAACCCAAAAAAAAGCAUAAACAUAAAAAAAUGGCAGGAUUGUCUGUGUGGCGGUGAGGGAUGCGAGGACUGAUGGAGCAAGCGAGCGGGUGGGCGGCGGGGACUGAAGAAGGUGGGACAGGUGUGUGUGUGUGUGUGUGUUUGUGUGUGUGUUAACCUCGGGGUUCUCCUGUCCCGUGCACUCUGUGUUGGCUACAUUGGCACACGUUAGUGGCUCGUGGUCGUUCCUUCAAUGUAUGGUCCUGUCUCCUCUGCGUUCAUCUUCCAUCCAUCCACUCAUCCUAUCUAGCCAGCCGUAUUCUCCUCCGUGGAGACGCGUGGACCCGGCCGUGAAAAAU